Molecule: ribosomal RNA, 2919 nt
Filed under: Bacillus pacificus
Lineage: Bacteria; Bacillati; Bacillota; Bacilli; Caryophanales; Bacillaceae
Description: 23S ribosomal RNA
Rfam family: Bacterial large subunit ribosomal RNA
Source: RNAcentral
GGUUAAGUUAGAAAGGGCGCACGGUGGAUGCCUUGACACUAGGAGUCGAUGAAGGACGGGACUAACGCCGAUAUGCUUCGGGGAGCUGUAAGUAAGCUUUGAUCCGAAGAUUUCCGAAUGGGGAAACCCACCAUACGUAAUGGUAUGGUAUCCUUAUCUGAAUACAUAGGGUAAGGAAGACAGACCCAGGGAACUGAAACAUCUAAGUACCUGGAGGAAGAGAAAGCAAAUGCGAUUUCCUGAGUAGCGGCGAGCGAAACGGAACAUAGCCCAAACCAAGAGGCUUGCCUCUUGGGGUUGUAGGACAUUCUAUACGGAGUUACAAAGGAACGAGGUAGACGAAGCGACCUGGAAAGGUCCGUCGUAGAGGGUAACAACCCCGUAGUCGAAACUUCGUUCUCUCUUGAAUGUAUCCUGAGUACGGCGGAACACGUGAAAUUCCGUCGGAAUCUGGGAGGACCAUCUCCCAAGGCUAAAUACUCCCUAGUGAUCGAUAGUGAACCAGUACCGUGAGGGAAAGGUGAAAAGCACCCCGGAAGGGGAGUGAAAGAGAUCCUGAAACCGUGUGCCUACAAAUAGUCAGAGCCCGUUAACGGGUGAUGGCGUGCCUUUUGUAGAAUGAACCGGCGAGUUACGAUCCCGUGCGAGGUUAAGCUGAAGAGGCGGAGCCGCAGCGAAAGCGAGUCUGAAUAGGGCGUUUAGUACGUGGUCGUAGACCCGAAACCAGGCGAUCUACCCAUGUCCAGGGUGAAGUUCAGGUAACACUGAAUGGAGGCCCGAACCCACGCACGUUGAAAAGUGCGGGGAUGAGGUGUGGGUAGCGGAGAAAUUCCAAUCGAACCUGGAGAUAGCUGGUUCUCCCCGAAAUAGCUUUAGGGCUAGCCUUAAGUGUAAGAGUCUUGGAGGUAGAGCACUGAUUGGACUAGGGGUCCUCAUCGGAUUACCGAAUUCAGUCAAACUCCGAAUGCCAAUGACUUAUCCUUAGGAGUCAGACUGCGAGUGAUAAGAUCCGUAGUCAAAAGGGAAACAGCCCAGACCGCCAGCUAAGGUCCCAAAGUGUGUAUUAAGUGGAAAAGGAUGUGGAGUUGCUUAGACAACUAGGAUGUUGGCUUAGAAGCAGCCACCAUUUAAAGAGUGCGUAAUAGCUCACUAGUCGAGUGACUCUGCGCCGAAAAUGUACCGGGGCUAAAUACACCACCGAAGCUGCGGAUUGAUACCAAUGGUAUCAGUGGUAGGGGAGCGUUCUAAGGACAGUGAAGUCAGACCGGAAGGACUGGUGGAGUGCUUAGAAGUGAGAAUGCCGGUAUGAGUAGCGAAAGACGGGUGAGAAUCCCGUCCACCGAAUGCCUAAGGUUUCCUGAGGAAGGCUCGUCCGCUCAGGGUUAGUCAGGACCUAAGCCGAGGCCGACAGGCGUAGGCGAUGGACAACAGGUUGAUAUUCCUGUACCACCUCUUUAUCGUUUGAGCAAUGGAGGGACGCAGAAGGAUAGAAGAAGCGUGCGAUUGGUUGUGCACGUCCAAGCAGUUAGGCUGAUAAGUAGGCAAAUCCGCUUAUCGUAAAGGCUGAGCUGUGAUGGGAAGCUCCUUAUGGAGCGAAGUCUUUGAUUCCCCGCUGCCAAGAAAAGCUUCUAGCGAGAUAAAAGGUGCCUGUACCGCAAACCGACACAGGUAGGCGAGGAGAGAAUCCUAAGGUGUGCGAGAGAACUCUGGUUAAGGAACUCGGCAAAAUGACCCCGUAACUUCGGGAGAAGGGGUGCUUUCUUAACGGAAAGCCGCAGUGAAUAGGCCCAAGCGACUGUUUAGCAAAAACACAGCUCUCUGCGAAGCCGUAAGGCGAAGUAUAGGGGUGACACCUGCCCGGUGCUGGAAGGUUAAGGAGAGGGGUUAGCGUAAGCGAAGCUCUGAACUGAAGCCCCAGUAAACGGCGGCCGUAACUAUAACGGUCCUAAGGUAGCGAAAUUCCUUGUCGGGUAAGUUCCGACCCGCACGAAAGGUGUAACGAUUUGGGCACUGUCUCAACCAGAGACUCGGUGAAAUUAUAGUACCUGUGAAGAUGCAGGUUACCCGCGACAGGACGGAAAGACCCCGUGGAGCUUUACUGUAGCCUGAUAUUGAAUUUUGGUACAGUUUGUACAGGAUAGGCGGGAGCCUUUGAAACCGGAGCGCUAGCUUCGGUGGAGGCGCUGGUGGGAUACCGCCCUGACUGUAUUGAAAUUCUAACCUACGGGUCUUAUCGACCCGGGAGACAGUGUCAGGUGGGCAGUUUGACUGGGGCGGUCGCCUCCUAAAGUGUAACGGAGGCGCCCAAAGGUUCCCUCAGAAUGGUUGGAAAUCAUUCGUAGAGUGCAAAGGCAUAAGGGAGCUUGACUGCGAGACCUACAAGUCGAGCAGGGACGAAAGUCGGGCUUAGUGAUCCGGUGGUUCCGCAUGGAAGGGCCAUCGCUCAACGGAUAAAAGCUACCCCGGGGAUAACAGGCUUAUCUCCCCAAGAGUCCACAUCGACGGGGAGGUUUGGCACCUCGAUGUCGGCUCAUCGCAUCCUGGGGCUGUAGUCGGUCCCAAGGGUUGGGCUGUUCGCCCAUUAAAGCGGUACGCGAGCUGGGUUCAGAACGUCGUGAGACAGUUCGGUCCCUAUCCGUCGUGGGCGUAGGAAAUUUGAGAGGAGCUGUCCUUAGUACGAGAGGACCGGGAUGGACGCACCGCUGGUGUACCAGUUGUUCUGCCAAGGGCAUAGCUGGGUAGCUAUGUGCGGAAGGGAUAAGUGCUGAAAGCAUCUAAGCAUGAAGCCCCCCUCAAGAUGAGAUUUCCCAUAGCGUAAGCUAGUAAGAUCCCUGAAAGAUGAUCAGGUUGAUAGGUUCGAGGUGGAAGCAUGGUGACAUGUGGAGCUGACGAAUACUAAUAGAUCGAGGACUUAACCAU